Phascolarctos cinereus (koala) is the source of this 1098-nucleotide non-coding RNA. The record is from RefSeq and is a predicted model, not a curated record. Lineage: Eukaryota; Metazoa; Chordata; Mammalia; Diprotodontia; Phascolarctidae.
CUUAAAAGGAUACAUAUGGAAGAAUACAAAGAAACAUUGAAAGACAAAGUGAUAAAGAAUGAAGAAAUCAGAAGUAGGAGGACAUACACAGUGACUACAACUAUUAAAAACAGUCAACACCCACAUGAUUAUAAAAUAUAAUAACAAGCAAACUUUACAAGUACAAGAAUUGAAAAGAGACCAGGAGACACUGACAUUACCUGGAUUCCAGGCACUUCCUUGCCUGCCCUGACCUCUAAGACAUGUCAGUUCAAAGAAGCUUUGGUUGAUCCUUUGGAUUUUGGUCUCUGACAGUGGGCUGUUUCCUAGCAUUGGUCCAUCCACCUGCCUACUGACAACUGUCUGGCUUGUUCUUGAUCUUGACUCCAGCAGUCUCCUUCGCUCUGCCCAGAUAACCAAGACGACAGCACAUGGCUCAUCUCACACUUCCCAACUUGUCGAAGUCAAGCCCAGAUCUCUUCCUGGAUUUCCUGGUCACCCCUCUGAAGAGUUUAGUCCAACUUCCAUCCCCACCCCAGUACACCAGUGAUGGGGAAUUUAGAUUUGAUGUGCCAGGAGAUGGAGAGCCAUUGAAGAUUGUUGAGUAGGAGAGGUGAGAAGUCAAAAGACAUAAAGAUCAGCAACCACAGGGGUUCAGAAACUAAAGAAUUAAGUGAGAGGCAAGGGUGGUGGUGGCCAACUGGGAUGCAAAAUGAAGGAAUGUAAACAACAACAGAAGCAAAAAUAUUAAUAGAUAGCUGACGUUUCUUUAGCACUUAAUUUGCAAUGUUUGCUUUACACAACUUAUUGCAUUUGACCCUCAUAACAACCCUGUGAUGUACGUACUACAAUAUAACUUUAAUGCAUUGUUAUACCAUCAAUUUGGCUACUUCCCCCACUGGGGUAGAUUGCAACCCAUUUACACCAUCUCAUCCUGUGAGAUGCUUGUCUUUAUGCUCCCAGUGACUAGGAAUCUUCCUUUAUGUGGCUAUCAGUCAAGCACAUGAUCUGUCUACAGAUUCUCCCUUAUUCUCACUAUAUGACCAGCCUGCUUUACACAUCAUACAUAUCUCUGAUGACAUACUCUAUACUGCCUCUUCUAUAAAAUUCUUCAUUCCA